This 449-nucleotide ribosomal RNA is filed under the name uncultured bacterium. RNAcentral's name for it is "partial 16S ribosomal RNA". It matches the Rfam family "Bacterial small subunit ribosomal RNA", at positions 29 to 523 of the family's 1533-position model. The record is from RNAcentral.
AACGAACGCUGGCGGCAUGCCUAACACAUGCAAGUCGAACGAGAUCUUCGGGUCUAGUGGCGCACGGGUGCGUAACGCGUGGGAAUCUGCCCUUUGGUUCGGAAUGACAGUUGGAAACGACUGCUAAUACCGGAUGAUGACGAAAGUCCAAAGAUUUAUCGCCAGAGGAUGAGCCCGCGUAGGAUUAGCUAGUUGGUGGGGUAAAGGCGCACCAAGGCGACGAUCCUUAGCUGGUCUGAGAGGAUGAUCAGCCACACUGGGACUGAGACACGGCCCAGACUCCUACGGGAGGCAGCAGUGGGGAAUAUUGAACAAUGGGCGAAAGCCUGAUCCAGCAAUGCCGCGAGAGUGAUGAAGGCCUUAGGGUUGUAAAGCUCUUUUACCCGGGAUGAUAAUGACAGUACCGGGAGAAUAAGCUCCGGCUAACUCCGUGCCAGCCGCCGCAGUAA